GAGAGAGAAGUAGUGAGAAACGAUGCCGGCUGGAGGUUGUUGGACGGCAACAGUGGAAGUGGCCGGUCAGGUGAGGUCCAGAGAGAAAGAGACCCAAAGAGACCAGCAAAGGGAGAUGUGGGACCGAGAGGAGGAGAAGGCGAAUGGAUCGGUGAGGGGACGCCGGUAAUGGCUGCGACUGGUGGUGGCGACUGAGGCUAUGGACGGAAGAGGGUGGUCG
RNAcentral lists this long non-coding RNA (220 nucleotides) under Eucalyptus grandis. RNAcentral describes it as "long non-coding RNA (EGRA_LNC001464)". The record is from RNAcentral. Lineage: Eukaryota; Viridiplantae; Streptophyta; Magnoliopsida; Myrtales; Myrtaceae.